AGCAGUCGCCGCGGUAAUACAGAGGGUGCAAGCGUUAAUCGGAAUUACUGGGCGUAAAGCGCGCGUAGGUGGUUUGUUAAGUUGGAUGUGAAAGCCCCGGGCUCAACCUGGGAACUGCAUCCAAAACUGGCAAGCUAGAGUACGGUAGAGGGUGGUGGAAUUUUCUGUGUAGCGGUGAAAUGCGUAGAUAUAGGAAGGAACACCAGUGGCGAAGGCGACCACCUGGACUGAUACUGACACUGAGGUGCGAAAGCGUGGGGAGCAAACAGGAUUAGAUACCCCGGUAGUCCCUGUCUCUUAUAC
RNAcentral lists this ribosomal RNA (303 nucleotides) under uncultured bacterium. Its description in RNAcentral is "partial 16S ribosomal RNA". It matches the Rfam family "Bacterial small subunit ribosomal RNA", at positions 507 to 807 of the family's 1533-position model. The record is from RNAcentral.